CGCACUCACCGUCGCAGUCCGUCAGCACGGUGUCGAACGAAUUCAGGAAUCGCCGGACGUUCUGGCGGGUGAGCGCCUUGAUGUUUAUCGCGGACAUUAGCACCUUAAAAAAAGCAACGGCAUGUGUCACGGAUGUAUGACGUAUUUACCAGUUAUGGUCAGACAGACACGGUCCCAACGAUCAGUUCAAUACGGAUCAGCUGACAUUCCACUGACAUCUAUUACCUUGAAAAAAAACGGAGCUCUGUCAUCGAUAUAUACGCGAUGGGCUGCCUCGCAAUCUGCGAUCUCUCGAUUUCAGACUCUCUUUUGUGCGUGGAAUGACUAAGCCCGGAUCUACAAUAGGUGUAAUCUGGCCUAAUCAUGAUUCUUGUCAUUCGAUGCGUUCCGAGACGCAUCGAGAUAAAAACGAUUGAUUUUCCCGUCUAUUUCCGCUGGAAAAAGCACUUCAAUAAAAAAAAACCGAAAGGACACAAAAAACAAUAUAUAUAAUAACAAAUAAUAUAUAUAAUAACAAAUAAUACUUAAAUUUUUUUUAAUUAAAUUUUAUUUAUUUGAUUG
RNAcentral lists this long non-coding RNA (561 nucleotides) under Monomorium pharaonis (pharaoh ant). RNAcentral describes it as "uncharacterized LOC118644935, transcript variant X2". The record is from RNAcentral. Lineage: Eukaryota; Metazoa; Arthropoda; Insecta; Hymenoptera; Formicidae.